AAUGCUCCAAUUUGUAAGUCGCUCUGGAUAAGAGCGUCUGCUAAAUGACUUAAA
This is a non-coding RNA of Salmo salar (Atlantic salmon), 54 nucleotides long. Lineage: Eukaryota; Metazoa; Chordata; Actinopteri; Salmoniformes; Salmonidae. The record is from Rfam.